GAAACAUGCCGAAAGGGACUUACAAGCAAAAUUUCCGCGAUUCGUGGUUAAAUUUUGAAGAAUUUAAGCAGUGGCUACGCAAAGAAGGAAAUCAAAGACGAAAAAUAUUUUGAUGAAAAAUAUAAAAUCAGAGAAGAUUGUAAAAACUUCAUCAAGGCUUUAAUUAUUCAACUAAGGGAGAGACUUCCUGAUAACAUUGAAGUACUAAAACAAAUGGAUAUUUUCGCCGUUGGCAAUAUGCUACAAGCAAAUAAAACGCCAGAUAAAAUUAUUUCGUUGUUGGAACAUUUCAAAUAUGAAAAUAUUGAUGAAAUAGUAUCCCAAUUUGGAAAAAUCCACCUUAUUAAUUGGGAAAAAAAGGAAAUAACUAUAGAGUUUUGGUCAGAAGUUUUGAUGUAUAAGGAUGCUGGCCAAAACAAAGCUUUCGAGCAACUGGCGUUAUUUGCUUUGCACAUUCUUUCACUGCCAUGGUCGAAUGCUGCGGUUGAGAGGGUAUUCAGCCAAAUGAACAUGGUCAAAACAAAGUUGCGCAACAAAAUGAAUUUAAAAAGCUUGAACGCAAUUUUAAGAAUAAGAUAUGGACUGCGACGUCAUGGCAAAUGUUGCCAUGACUACAUACUUCCAACGAAAUACCUCAGCUCAUCCGCUAAAUAUAUGGAAUCGAAAGAUGAAGUCGAUGAAAUUAUUUCUUUGCUCUAAUAGCUAUAUAAAUAUAAUAUCAAUAAAAGUAAAAAAUCAA
Drosophila gunungcola (fruit fly) is the source of this 739-nucleotide long non-coding RNA. RefSeq lists it as uncharacterized. NCBI's taxonomy places the organism in Eukaryota, Metazoa, Arthropoda, Insecta, Diptera, Drosophilidae. The record is from RefSeq and is a predicted model, not a curated record. The transcript is spliced from 3 exons.